GAUGAACGCUGGCGGCGUGCCUAAUACAUGCAAGUCGAGCGCACGGACGAGAAGCUUGCUUCUCUGAUGUUAGCGGUGGACGGGUGAGUAACACGUGGAUAACCCCCUUAUAAGACUGGGAUAACAUCGGGAAACCAGAGCUAAUACCAGAUCAUAUUCUGCACCGCAUGGUUCAACAGUGAAAGACGGCCUUUCUGUCACUAAUAGCUGGAUCCGCGCUGCAUUAGCUAGUUGGUAAGGUAACGGCCUACCAAGGCAACGAUGCAUAGCCGACCUGAGAGAGUGUUCGGCCACGCUGGAACUGAGACACGGUCCAGAGUCCUACGGUAGGAAGCAGUAGGGAAUCUUCCGCAAUGGGCGAGAGCCUGACAGAGCAACGCCGCGUGAGUGAUGAAGGUCUUCGGCUCGUAAAGCUCUGUUGUUUGGGAAGAACAUAUGUGUUAGUAACUGUGCACUUCUUGACGGUACCUAAUAAAAAAGCCCCGGCUAACUACGUG
This 497-nucleotide ribosomal RNA is filed under the name uncultured bacterium. RNAcentral describes it as "partial 16S ribosomal RNA". It matches the Rfam family "Bacterial small subunit ribosomal RNA", at positions 28 to 507 of the family's 1533-position model. The record is from RNAcentral.